RNAcentral lists this microRNA precursor (116 nucleotides) under Caenorhabditis briggsae. RNAcentral describes it as "miRNA-40". It matches the Rfam family "mir-36 microRNA precursor family". The record is from RNAcentral. Lineage: Eukaryota; Metazoa; Nematoda; Chromadorea; Rhabditida; Rhabditidae.
CUCUGUAUCCCCUACCCUCACCCCAGCGGGUUUUCAUCGCAGUGAUAUGACGCAUUCAAACCAUUUCUUAUCACCGGGUGUCAAUCAGCUAGGGUGUGGGCGCGGGUAUCCACAGA